GUAGGUGGCAAGCGUUGUCCGGAAUUAUUGGGCGUAAAGCGCGCGCAGGCGGUUCUUUAAGUCUGAUGUGAAAGCCCACGGCUCAACCGUGGAGGGUCAUUGGAAACUGGAGAACUUGAGUACAGAAGAGGAAAGAGGAAUUCCACGUGUAGCGGUGAAAUGCGUAGGGAUGUGGAGGAACACCAGUGGCGAAGGCGGCUUUCUGGUCUGUAACUGACGCUGAGGCGCGAAAGCGUGGGGAGCAAACAGGGAUUAGAUACCCUGGUAGUCCACGCCGUAAACGAUGAGUGCUAAGUGUUAGGGGGUUUCCCGCCCCUUAGUGCUGCAGCUAACGCAUUAAGCACUCCGCCUGGGGAGUACGGCCGCAAGGCUG
RNAcentral lists this ribosomal RNA (373 nucleotides) under uncultured organism. RNAcentral's name for it is "partial 16S ribosomal RNA". It matches the Rfam family "Bacterial small subunit ribosomal RNA", at positions 527 to 896 of the family's 1533-position model. The record is from RNAcentral.